AGAUUAUGAAAUGUAUUUUAAAGCUUUCACGACUUCCUAUUACUGUUCAAAAUUUACAAAAGACAGGAAUUGGGCGUGUAGUCAACAGCUUAAGGAAAUAUGAUGGGCAAAUAGGAGAGUCAGCAAAAUUAUUGGUUGUUCAAUGGAAAAAUGUUGUUAAAAUUGAAGAAUCUGAAAAUUUUUAUCAAAAAGAAAACUCUGAUGAAGAACAUGACGAUGCAUCUUCGGCCAAUGAUAAUGACGAACUACAAAUCAACCAAAAUAUAACAUCUAGUGUUGCAUCUACUAGUUAUUACAACAACAAUAGCAAUGAAACAGGAUUGAAUGAUGAAAAUAAUGGCCAUUCAAGUGACCAUGGUGCAUGUAAAAUUUAUAAUCAUUAUCAAAAUAAUUAUGAUAAAAUAUCAAAGUAUAAAAAAAGUAAAAAGGAUAAAGAUAGCAAAAAACGAAAAGAAUCUAGUUGCAAUUCAACAGAUGAACAAGGAGAUGAAAAAGUCUCUAAGAAAUUGAAGAAAGAUAAUAAGCAUGAAAAUAUCAAAAUUAAAAAAGAAGCUGAUAAAGAAUCUGAAAAAAGUAAAGUUGCGACAACUUCUCAUCAAGAAAAUGGUAAAAAUAAUGAAGUUAACAUUAAAAAGGAAAAAAAAAGUUCACAUUCAGAUAAAAAAAAAGAUAAACAUAAGUCUACUCAUAAAUCUGAAUCAAGGUCAGAAUCAAAGUCUGAAUCAAGGUCAGAAUCAAAAUCUGAAUCAAGGUCAGAAUCAAAGUCUGAAUCAAGAUCUGAAUCAAAAUCUCAUAGGGAUAAACAUGAAUCGAAAUCUGGACAUAGGGAAAAAAAUGAUUCCAAAAAAAAGAGCAAAGAAAAAAGCAAAGAACAUUCUAAACAAGAAUCUAAACCUUCGACUAGUAUUUGUAAGUUUAGCUAUUUAUAUAAAAAUGUACAUUUAUUUCUUACUUAAUGUUAUUUUAGGUAAAACAUUUGAAGAGGCAUUACUAGGUAUAGAAAUAAAUAAGAAAAAAAAAGAUAAAUCAAAGUGUAGAGAUAUAUCAAGUCGAUCAAAUUCUUCAGAAAGGGAAUCGAGUCCUAUUCCAACAGUUAGUUAAUCUUUUAGACACAUCUCCUCAUAUUUUUUAAGAACCAUAUCUAUUUUAGAAUAAUAUAUUACAGAGUAUGCAGUUGGCACCAAUAAAUUUGGAUCCCGAAGAGUUAAUUGCAAAUUAUAAACCAUUACCUCAAUUGGAUAUAAAGAAAAAAAAAUCAUUAGAUGAAAUUGAUGCAUUAGCUACAAGUAUGAAAACAAAAAAUAUGAGGUAUAAUAUACAAAAUUUGUAGUUAUUUUUUUUUUCUAAUUUUCUAAGACAAUAUUUUACAGGACAAAAGUAUACUCUGGAAAUAAAAGCACAAUUUAUACAGAAGUUCCUAGUUUAGCUGAUUGUUGUAUUAAAACUCUUAAAGAAAAUAUUGAUGGUAAAUAUUUCUUCUGGCUUUAUACAUGGUUUUUAUACAUUCCAUUUUGUUUAGAUAUGGGAGAGACUGGUGGUGUUCCAUAUAUGAUACUUGAGCCAGUAUUAAGCCACACUACUCCUGACCAAUUAUAUCAGAUAGAAAAUCAUAAUGGCUAUUUGAUUGAAGAUACUGGACCUUUGUGGGAAUACCACAGCAAGAAAGAAUUCCGUAAUAAAGUUCCAGAAAAAAACGAAACUUGGAGAAAUUUUUAUAUAGUAAUUAAUAAUGCAUUUGCAUGUCUUUAACAAUAUUAGUCCAAAUCCUUAAUUUAAUAGAUACAGUAGACUCCUGAUAAUUCAAUUUAGGGAAUUGAACUGAAAAUUUAAUUUAUAGAAGUUUUCAAUUUAGUAAGAGUUAAAAUAUUUGGGAGGGAGGGAAAUGAAUAAUUCUAAUUAAAGAGAAUUGAACAAAAUAAAUACAUAUUUACUGUUUAAUUAACUUUACAUUAAUUAUUUAUUGUAGGUACAUAUUAUAAAAUAUCAAAAAAAAAUUUAUCUUCUUUGUGACCAAUUUUUGACCACAAUUGUUAUUGCUGUCGGUUAUUUUUCAAUAUUAGAAUUAUAAAUUCUUACUGAAUACUUGUAUGACUAAUAAUUAUAAAUUUGAAUUAUAGAGAUUCUGGCUAAAAUAUUCAAAUUGUAGUAGUUUUUGAAAUACCAAGUCUAUGUAUAUAGAUAAUAUUUUUAAAAUAAAUUUUUUUAAAUCUAAAUAAACAUUUAUCAGGUGUUACUUAAAUUAAUUAAUUUAAAAUAAAGAUUUACAAAAAUUGUAACAUAUAUUUUGUUUUUUCAAGUUAAACUUUUGUACAUCAAAGUAUGAUUCCUGUAGAUAAUUAUUGUUACUAAAGAGGUAUACUAUCUAUAUUAUUUCUCCAUGCCUUAUUGAGGUAUUUUUAAUGUUUAGAGAUGCCUUGAAGAGCGUGAAAUUAAAUUGCACAAACUACGACAAAAUAUAAAUGCGAAUCAAGCCGCAUCCACUCCAGUUAGGAAGACACAAUUGGCAUAUGUUGACUCUGUAGCAAAACCACCUCGCGGUGUAGCUAGGCGACAGGUAUAUUGAAUUUAAACUAUUUAUACAAUAUUGUAUCUUUUCAUCGGUGUAUAUUUUAUUAAUAGGCGAAAUACCACACUCCUUCUGACACUAAACGUAAUAUUUUAAACAAAUCAAUGAUGGGAGGAAAUUCUACUGCAGAAGCUUUAUCUGCUAACAAUAGGUCUACUGUCAUGGCAACCGGCAUACCUGUCGCUUUGAAUUCUAAUCAUAGUGCAUCGUCUUCUGCUGCACGUACGUAAAUCUGUAUCAUAUCAAUUUUUUGAAUAUGGAAAUUUUUUGUGUGAAAAUAUUGAGUUUCCGACUCAAAAUAACAACUUUUCAUUUAUUACUUGUAAUCAAAUUUAUUUUCUCUAACAUUUUUUUAAUGAUUGACUGACAAGGCAAGUUAACAUUGUUGAUAUUUCUAUCAAAAGUGUGAUUUUUUCCAUUGAUUUCAUUGUGCAUAAUAUUUGAAUAUUUUUUCAAUUAAAAAAAUUGAACGGUUCUUAACUAUAUUAAGAGAAAACUUAUUUUUAAUAGUCACAUGUUUGUAAUUCACAUAAGAAAUCUUUUAAUUUAUAUUUAUUUCAGAUUAACUUAUAUCAUUAUAUUUUCACACAAACUAUUAUAGUAUUUGAAAAAAUGGCCGUGAACUUUGUAAACUAAAUAUUUGUAAUAUUAUUUUUGAAAUGUGCUUUUUUUUGGUUGAAGAGGAGACAUCUCUUUGUCCACACUUAUUAUAAUAUUAAUUAAAAAGAAGUUUUUCCGUAAAACACAUUUAAUGUGUGUAUUAGUAAACUUUAAAAACUGUACUUUAUUUUUUAAGAUUAUUAACCAUUCCAAGAACUAUUAGAAACGAAUUAUUUUCCUAUUAACUAAAGAUUUGGCACUUAAGAGGACGUUAUACCCACAUCUACUAUUUCAGUUCAGCUACCAGGUACUAAGCAGUAAACAAUGCUUAUGCAGAGUAAGUAAAACUAGCUCAAUUUUGACUUUAGAUCUAUUAUAAAAUGUAUAGAGAACAAUAUUUCGGAGGGAAUGUAUUAGGUGCUUUAGAAUUGUUUUAAAAAAUAACAGUUAUUCAAGAAACAAAAAAAAAGUUCUGUAUAUUUUGAAUAAUACAAUAACUCUAAAUGAUAUUCCCUCCAAAAUAUUAUUCUCUUUAAAUUUUAUAAUAGAUACUUUUACUCUAAAAUUGAAACUAAGCAAGUUUUACUUAUACUGCGUAAGCAUGGUUUUUGCGUGUUACCCGGUAGUUGUACUGAGACAGUAGAUAUGGGUAUAACAUCCUCUUAAUUAAUUUUCUAUAUUUACAUUCUCAAUUCUAAUUUUGAAUGAAAUUCUGGCUUUAAAAACUGUUUAAAUUAUUCAUAACAUUAAUAUUAAAAUUUUCAAUAUUUUAAUUUAAAAAAUACCAAUAUGUUAAUUUUUUUUUUUGAAUUUACAUCCCUAACUAUUAUCAUUAACUGUAAUCAUUCAUUUAUUAUAGGCGGUUAUUAUAGACUUUUUUUAUAUAAUUUUUUUAUAACAUAGUAUGAUAAAUUAUUGUUUAUUGUGUAUUUAUAAUUUUAGUGAAGAAGAAAAAAGCACCUUUAAUGCAAAAAGCAUUACAACUCAUUAAGUCUACACGCAGGCGUUAAAUCAUCAUCAUUCUACACUUUAAUUUCAUGUGUCCAUGUGUGUUUGUGUGUGUGUGUGUGUGUGUGUUUUGUAUAAUAAUAAUACAAAUCUAGGUAUUUGAUGUUUUUUUUUAUUUUUAAAACUUAUUUUACCCUUAAGGUUCUAGGAAUUGAAGUUAAUAUAAAACUAAAUUUGUAUAUGUCUGUGAUUAACUGAAUUUUGAAUUGUAUAUUUUUUGUUUCUUAAAUAGCAGUAAGAUUACUUAAUAUGUGAACACAUUUUAGUUAUAAAUUAUAAUAUUAUAAACAAGGUUGGAAAUUAUUCUAAUUAAUUACCUAUUUUAAUAUGAAUUGUAUUUUAAUUUUUAGCUAUAUAGGGUCAUCCAAAUUUACUAUGAAUACUUAUUUCAGAAAAAGUAAUUUAAAAACUUAAAAAUAUUACAUUGACCUUAUUUUUGAAGGUUGAAAACAAAACUAAUUUUUAAUUUUCAAUAUUUAUUGAAAUUCCAUAAAUAAAUGAAAUUUGAGUUUAAAUAAAUUUUUAAUUUCAAUCAAUGAAUUUGUAAGACCCUGUAUGUGUACUCAGUUACUUAUAGGAUGAUCCAUUUAUCACCCUCCACUUAUUUUCUUUGAGGAUUUUAAAUAAAUUUGAUUUUUGUUUUCCUUCAACCAUUAUGGAACUGUUUAAGAUUCAUCAGAUACUUUUUAUUGAAAUUAAUGACUGUGUUCUUAUGUCACACUUGUUUACUUCUCCUAUAGAUACUGCCGCAGACUGUUGUCUGUUAGUUUCACUCACAGUGAUAGCCGAGACACCGUGGCAUCUAUCACUACAGUUGUUCUCAAACUCCUAAGUGCACCACACCAAUCAACCCAUCUCACUGUUUAAUAACUACAACAAGCGUGUAAUGCAUGUAUGUUAAUAUAGUAAAUCCAAGUUUAGAAGUUUUUAGUUAUAAAAAUAAAUGUUUAGUAAACAAUGCUUUUUAUUGACUGGUCCUAAAAUGCAGAUAAUAAAAAUUAAUCUUUCAAAUUUGAUAUAAAAAAGUAUAAUUUUCAAUUUAAUUAUUGAUAUGCAUAACACUUAUAUCAUAUUUACUGUUUAUGAGUUAUUAAGUUUAUAACUGUUUAAAAUGUAGACGAAAAGAAAAAGAAUGGGUUGUCAUCUAAAUGUAUCUAAAUCUAUUAAUUUAAUUUAUCAUUUAAAAAAUGGAUAUGAAGUUUAUUUCAUUUUCCAACUCUGUCUAAACUUUAAACUACCAUAACUUAACAAUUGUAAAUCAGUAUGCAAAAAAAAAAAACAAUUUGUUUU
This 5464-nucleotide long non-coding RNA is filed under the name Cinara cedri. Lineage: Eukaryota; Metazoa; Arthropoda; Insecta; Hemiptera; Aphididae. The record is from RNAcentral.